UGCAAGUCGAACGAUGAAGCCCAGCUUGCUGGGUGGAUUAGUGGCGAACGGGUGAGUAACACGUGGGUGAUCUGCCCUGCACUUCGGGAUAAGCCUGGGAAACUGGGUCUAAUACCGGAUAGGACCUCGGGAUGCAUGUUCCGGGGUGGAAAGGUUUUCCGGUGCAGGAUGGGCCCGCGGCCUAUCAGCUUGUUGGUGGGGUAACGGCCCACCAAGGCGACGACGGGUAGCCGGCCUGAGAGGGCGACCGGCCACACUGGGACUGAGACACGGCCCAGACUCCUACGGGAGGCAGCAGUGGGGAAUAUUGCACAAUGGGCGCAAGCCUGAUGCAGCGACGCCGCGUGAGGGAUGACGGCCUUCGGGUUGUAAACCUCUUUCAGUACCGACGAAGCGCAAGUGACGGUAGGUACAGAAGAAGCACCGGCCAACUACGUGCCAGCAGCCGCGGUAAUACGUAGGGUGCGAGCGUUGUCCGGAAUUACUGGGCGUAAAGAGCUCGUAGGCGGUUUGUCGCGUCGUCUGUGAAAACCCGCAGCUCAACUGCGGGCUUGCAGGCGAUACGGGCAGACUUGAGUACUGCAGGGGAGACUGGAAUUCCUGGUGUAGCGGUGAAAUGCGCAGAUAUCAGGAGGAACACCGGUGGCGAAGGCGGGUCUCUGGGCAGUAACUGACGCUGAGGAGCGAAAGCGUGGGUAGCGAACAGGA
RNAcentral lists this ribosomal RNA (708 nucleotides) under Rhodococcus ruber. Its description in RNAcentral is "bacterial SSU rRNA". It matches the Rfam family "Bacterial small subunit ribosomal RNA", at positions 56 to 777 of the family's 1533-position model. Lineage: Bacteria; Bacillati; Actinomycetota; Actinomycetes; Mycobacteriales; Nocardiaceae. The record is from RNAcentral.